UACCUGGUUGAUCCUGCCAGUAGUCAUAUGCUUGUCUCAAAGAUUAAGCCAUGCAAGUCUAAGUACGAGCUCUCGUACAGUGAAACUGCGAAUGGCUCAUUAAAUCAGUUAUGGUUCAUUUGAUCGUACAGUUUACUUGGAUAACUGUGGUAAUUCUAGAGCUAAUACAUGCGAGAAGCGCCGACCUCGCGGGAGGCGUGCAUUUAUCAGACCAAAAACCGGCCGCGUCUUCGGGCGCGUUCGCCUUGGUGACUCUGGAUAACUUUGCGGAUCGCACGGUCUAGCACCGGCGACGGAUCAUUCAAGUGUCUGCCCUAUCAACUUUCGUCGGUACGGUAUUUGCCUACCGAGGUUCUUACGGGUGACGGGGAAUCAGGGUUCGAUUCCGGAGAGGGAGCCUGAGAAACGGCUACCACAUCCAAGGAAGGCAGCAGGCGCGCAAAUUACCCAUUCCCGACGCGGGGAGGUAGUGACGAAAAAUAACAAUGCAGGACUCGUUCGAGGCCCUGUAAUUGGAAUGAGUACACUUUAAAAGCUUUAACGAGUAUCCAUUGGAGGGCAAGUCUGGUGCCAGCAGCCGCGGUAAUUCCAGCUCCAAAAGUAUAUAUUUAAGUUGUUGCGGUUAAAAAGCUCGUAGUUGGAUUUUGGGCGCAGGCGGCCGGUCCGUCGCAAGGCGUGUACUGGACGUCCUGGCCUUCCCUCCGGUUCUCCGCCGGUGCUCUUGACUGAGUGUCGGCGGCGGCCGGAACGUUUACUUUGAAAAAAUUAGAGUGUUCAAAGCAGGCUCUCGAGCCUGGAUAAUGGUGCAUGGAAUAAUGGAAUAGGACCUCGGUUCUAUUUUGUUGGUUUUCGGAGCGCGAGGUAAUGAUUAAGAGGGACAGACGGGGGCAUUCGUACUGUGCCGUUAGAGGUGAAAUUCUUGGAUCGGCGCAAGACGAACGACUGCGAAAGCAUUUGCCAAGAAUGUUUUCUUUAAUCAAGAGCGAAAGUCAGAGGUUCGAAGACGAUCAGAUACCGUCCUAGUUCUGACUAUAAACGAUGCCAACUAGCGAUCGGGGGGCGUUACAUUGACGACCCCUCCCGGCAGCUUACGGGAAACCAAAGUCUUUGGGUUCCGGGGGAAGUAUGGUUGCAAAGCUGAAACUUAAAGGAAUUGACGGAAGGGCACCACCAGGAGUGGAGCCUGCGGCUUAAUUUGACUCAACACGGGAAAUCUCACCCGGCCCGGACACAGUGAGGAUUGACAGAUUGAGAGCUCUUUCUUGAUUCUGUGGGUGGUGGUGCAUGGCCGUUCUUAGUUGGUGGAGCGAUUUGUCUGGUUAAUUCCGAUAACGAACGAGACUCUGGCUUGCUAAAUAGUUACGAACGACCAUCCCGGUCGGCGUUUAACUUCUUAGAGGGACAAGUGGCGUUUAGCCACACGAUGAUUGAUGCAAUAACAGGUCUGUGAUGCCCUUAGAUGUUCGGGGCCGCACGCGCGCUACACUGACCGGAUCGAGCGUGUGCUCUCCUUGGCCGACAGGUCCGGGAAACCCGUUGAACGCCCGGUCGUGCUAGGGAUAGGGAAUUGCAAUUAUUUCCCUUGAACGAGGAAUUCCCAGUAAGCGCGAGUCAUUAGCUCGCGUUGAUUACGUCCCUUGCCCUUUGUACACACCGGCCCGUCGCUACUACCGAUUGAAUGGUUUAGUGAGGUCCUCCCGAUUGGACCCGGUCCGGGCGGCGACGUCCGGAGCCGGCGUCCGAGAAGACGAUCUAACUUGAUCAUUUAGAGGAAGUAAAAGUCGUAACAAGGUUUCCGUAGGUGAACCUGCGGAAGGAUCAUUA
Non-coding RNA from Ciona savignyi (Pacific transparent sea squirt), 1824 nucleotides. The record is from Rfam. Lineage: Eukaryota; Metazoa; Chordata; Ascidiacea; Phlebobranchia; Cionidae.